This 377-nucleotide ribosomal RNA is filed under the name uncultured bacterium. Its description in RNAcentral is "bacterial SSU rRNA". It matches the Rfam family "Bacterial small subunit ribosomal RNA", at positions 790 to 1167 of the family's 1533-position model. The record is from RNAcentral.
GUAGUCCACGCCUUAAACGAUGAAUACUAGAUGUUCGGAGAGUUAACCCUCUGAGUAUCAAAGCUAACGCAUUAAGUAUUCCGCCUGGGAAGUACGGCCGCAAGGUUGAAACUCAAAGGAAUUGACGGGGGCCCGCACAAGCGGUGGAGUAUGUGGUUCAAUUCGAAGCAACGCGCAGAACCUUACCUGGUCUUGACAUCCGGAGACAUCCCUAGAGAUAGGGCUUUCCCUUCGGGGACUCCGAGACAAGUGCUGCAUGGCUGUCGUCAGCUCGUGUCGUAGGAUGUUGGGUUAAGUCCCGCAACGAGCGCAACCCUUGCCUUUAGUUGCCACCAUUAAGUUGGGCACUCUAAAGGGACUGCCGGUGUUAAACCGGA